RNAcentral lists this ribosomal RNA (373 nucleotides) under uncultured bacterium. RNAcentral describes it as "bacterial SSU rRNA". It matches the Rfam family "Bacterial small subunit ribosomal RNA", at positions 524 to 898 of the family's 1533-position model. The record is from RNAcentral.
UACGGAGGGUGCAAGCGUUAUCCGGAAUCACUGGGUUUAAAGGGUGCGUAGGCGGUCUAGUAAGUCAGUCGUGAAAUCGCUGGGCUCAACCCAUGCAACUGCGAUUGAUACUGCUUGACUUGAAUAAGGUUGAGGUAGGCGGAAUGUGGCAUGUAGCGGUGAAAUGCUUAGAUAUGCCAUAGAACACCGAUUGCGAAGGCAGCUUGCUGGACCUUUAUUGACGCUGAGGCACGAAAGCGUGGGGAGCAAACAGGAUUAGAUACCCUGGUAGUCCACGCCCUAAACGAUGUUUACUUGCUGUUCGGCCUUCGGGCGGAGUGGCGAAGCGAAAGCGAUAAGUAAACCACCUGGGGAGUACGCCGGCAACGGUGAA